RNAcentral lists this ribosomal RNA (252 nucleotides) under Triticum aestivum (bread wheat). Its description in RNAcentral is "partial small subunit ribosomal RNA". The record is from RNAcentral. Lineage: Eukaryota; Viridiplantae; Streptophyta; Magnoliopsida; Poales; Poaceae.
AUGGAUGGGCUCCUUCACUGGGAUUUCAACCCUGGCCUUGCAGUGGCCGAUCAGGUACGUCGUCAGUUUGGAGAGACGGUGCACUUCUCUCCUUCACGCAAGACCAAGGAGUUUUUCUUGGUUGUCUCCUUCUCCUCAGCCUCUUUCCCCCUCAAUGAGGAAUCUGUCGGUGUGGCUCUCCAAUGUUGCAUUGGUGGUCAUCACCUUGGUUUUAAAGUUUCUAAGAUUUUUGAGAGAUCAUUUCGCUUCUAA